This is a long non-coding RNA of Lingula anatina, 259 nucleotides long. Lineage: Eukaryota; Metazoa; Brachiopoda; Lingulata; Lingulida; Lingulidae. The record is from RefSeq and is a predicted model, not a curated record.
GCUCGGGAACGCGGAAGUAGGCAAACUUUUUAAGUAAACAAUUUAGGUUUUGUCAAAGCUCUACUGUAUUUUACUUGGCGUAGAUACUUCGUGUACGUACGAGCUGUAUUGCAAAGUGCGCUGUUGAAAUGGACGUCAUUUGCAAGGUCCGUCAUAGCUGGACAUCGGGGAAGAAAGGAAUACUAGUAAUUUUGACAAUCGUUGGGACAGCAAAUGCUUUAGGUGCAUCGUGCAGAUGGUCAGUGUCUGCGCCUUCGAC